AGUGAACGCUGGCGGUAGGCCUAACACAUGCAAGUCGAACGGCAGCACAGUAAGAGCUUGCCCUUACGGGUGGCGAGUGGCGGACGGGUGAGGAAUACAUCGGAAUCUACUUUUUCGUGGGGGAUAACGUAGGGAAACUUACGCUAAUACCGCAUACGACCUACGGGUGAAAGCAGGGGAUCUUCGGACCUUGCGCGAUUGAAUGAGCCGAUGUCGGAUUAGCUAGUUGGCGGGGUAAAGGCCCACCAAGGCGACGAUCCGUAGCUGGUCUGAGAGGAUGAUCAGCCACACUGGAACUGAGACACGGUCCAGACUCCUACGGGAGGCAGCAGUGGGGAAUAUUGGACAAUGGGCGCAAACCUGAUCCAGCCAUACCGCGUGGGUGAAGAAGGCCUUCGGGUUGUAAAGCCCUUUUGUUGGGAAAGAAAAGCAGCAGGUUAAUACCCCGCUGUUCUGACGGUACCCAAAGAAUAAGCACCGGCUAACUUCGUG
This 492-nucleotide ribosomal RNA is filed under the name uncultured bacterium. RNAcentral describes it as "partial 16S ribosomal RNA". It matches the Rfam family "Bacterial small subunit ribosomal RNA", at positions 29 to 507 of the family's 1533-position model. The record is from RNAcentral.